RNAcentral lists this long non-coding RNA (257 nucleotides) under Capsella grandiflora. RNAcentral's name for it is "long non-coding RNA (CGRA_LNC001728)". Lineage: Eukaryota; Viridiplantae; Streptophyta; Magnoliopsida; Brassicales; Brassicaceae. The record is from RNAcentral.
AUUUUGUAUUUCCUUAUCCCAUAUAAAAUUUGGUUACUUCUGAAUAUUAUUAUAUUAUAGGUCAUAAUAGUAAUGUUUUAACCAAAAUAAAUCGUGUCAAUUAAAUUGGUGUAUUCAAAAUGGAAUUUUAAGAGAUUUGAGUUUUAUUGAGUUUUAAAAUGAUUUUGAUGAUUUUAGGGAAGUUCAUAUGACUUUUGUAAAAUACUUUCAAAUCUCACCAAAAACCAUGGGAUUUGGAUUUCUGUAUUUUUAACUAA